GUACCUAUAGCUCAAUUGGAUAGAGCGUUUGACUACGGAUCAAAAGGUUGCGGGUUCGACUCCUACUAGGUACG
Molecule: transfer RNA, 74 nt
Filed under: Streptobacillus moniliformis DSM 12112
Lineage: Bacteria; Fusobacteriati; Fusobacteriota; Fusobacteriia; Fusobacteriales; Leptotrichiaceae
Rfam family: tRNA
About the family: Transfer RNA (tRNA) molecules are approximately 80 nucleotides in length.
Source: Rfam by way of RNAcentral